Molecule: non-coding RNA, 744 nt
Organism: Pelobates cultripes (western spadefoot toad)
Lineage: Eukaryota; Metazoa; Chordata; Amphibia; Anura; Pelobatidae
Source: the annotation of a GenBank genome assembly
GCCAUCCACAGCACCUGAGCCCCCCACACACCCUACACCCAUCCCUUCUUACCCCUGCUACAGCCGGCACUAAUCCUCUCCAUGGGCGGCGGGAAAAAAGCCCGUAACUCGGCAGUGGCGCCGAUCUUUAGGCAGAAGCCCGAGCAGACCCGGGCGCCAUCUUCGGAGGCCCCCCUUACGGACUCAGACUCUGAAAUGAGCAGCCACGCUCACUCGGAACGUACUGAAGCCCCCCUCACCAGGAACGAUAUGCGGGGCUUCCUGGCCGACUUUAAACAGUCCGUGGCUGAAGAACUUGAAAAAAGGCUAUGCCCCAUACUGGCAACCAUGUCGGAACUCUCAGCUCGAACACAGGCCACAGAAGACAAAAUGGCGGCCACUGAAGAAACGGUAUCAACACAGGGGACCGAGAUACAAACUCUCCGAGACCAAUUGCGCUCACUUGAAGACGCAAAUGAAGACCUGAACAACAGAACACGGCGGAACAACAUUAGAGUGAGGGGCAUUCCGGAAUCCGUCUCCACAGACCUACUCACCGACACUCUCACAGAGGUCUUCCAAACCCUGCUCCCAGAAGCUACAGCUGCCGACCUCCUUAUGGACCGGGCUCACAGAGCAUUGCGAGCUCCCAGUGCCAACAUGGCCACCCCCAGGGAUAUCAUCGUCAAACUACACUUUUACCACAUUAAAGAACGCAUUAUGAAAGCAGCCCGAGAUAGCCCCGUGGUGGUGGAGGGGGUUCCG